This is a long non-coding RNA of Paramisgurnus dabryanus, 248 nucleotides long. RefSeq lists it as uncharacterized. The record is from RefSeq and is a predicted model, not a curated record. Lineage: Eukaryota; Metazoa; Chordata; Actinopteri; Cypriniformes; Cobitidae.
CAUCAAGUUUUCCAGACUUACCGAUGGGAAAGAAGAAAUGGGAAUGUGACAAUAAUUGAGAAACUCAGGGGAAAAGCAUCUUUAGAGAAGAAAAUGGACAUCAGACAUUUAUUGAAGAAAGCUGACAGUCAACAUAAUGAUGAGAGCUGUGUUAUACAAUGUUAAGGAGACUCGUUCAUCUUCUGCUUUGUGAAUUCUGCUGUGUCAGUCCUGUGGGACUUGAUGCCGGCUGGUACCAGUGUGACGUC